AUGUUAGCGGCGGACGGGUGAGUAACACGUGGGUAACCUGCCUGUAAGACUGGGAUAACUCCGGGAAACCGGGGCUAAUACCGGAUGGUUGUUUGAACCGCAUGGUUCAGACAUAAAAGGUGGCUUCGGCUACCACUUACAGAUGGACCCGCGGCGCAUUAGCUAGUUGGUGAGGUAACGGCUCACCAAGGCGACGAUGCGUAGCCGACCUGAGAGGGUGAUCGGCCACACUGGGACUGAGACACGGCCCAGACUCCUACGGGAGGCAGCAGUAGGGAAUCUUCCGCAAUGGACGAAAGUCUGACGGAGCAACGCCGCGUGAGUGAUGAAGGUUUUCGGAUCGUAAAGCUCUGUUGUUAGGGAAGAACAAGUGCCGUUCAAAUAGGGCGGCACCUUGACGGUACCUAACCAGAAAGCCACGGCUAACUACGUGCCAGCAGCCGCGGUAAUACGUAGGUGGCAAGCGUUGUCCGGAAUUAUUGGGCGUAAAGGGCUCGCAGGCGGUUUCUUAAGUCUGAUGUGAAAGCCCCCGGCUCAACCGGGGAGGGUCAUUGGAAACUGGGGAACUUGAGUGCAGAAGAGGAGAGUGGAAUUCCACGUGUAGCGGUGAAAUGCGUAGAGAUGUGGAGGAACACCAGUGGCGAAAGGCGACUCUCUGGUCUGUAACUGACGC
RNAcentral lists this ribosomal RNA (673 nucleotides) under Bacillus sp. ESA 0002. RNAcentral's name for it is "bacterial SSU rRNA". It matches the Rfam family "Bacterial small subunit ribosomal RNA", at positions 89 to 746 of the family's 1533-position model. The record is from RNAcentral. Lineage: Bacteria; Bacillati; Bacillota; Bacilli; Caryophanales; Bacillaceae.